This 515-nucleotide ribosomal RNA is filed under the name uncultured bacterium. RNAcentral's name for it is "bacterial SSU rRNA". It matches the Rfam family "Bacterial small subunit ribosomal RNA", at positions 553 to 1074 of the family's 1533-position model. The record is from RNAcentral.
AUUGGGUUUAAAGGGAGCGUAGGCGGAUUAUUAAGUCAGUGGUGAAAGACGGUGGCUCAACCAUCGUUAGCCAUUGAAACUGGUAGUCUUGAGUGCAGACAGGGAUGCUGGAACUCGUGGUGUAGCGGUGAAAUGCUUAGAUAUCACGAUGAACUCCGAUCGCGAAGGCAGGUGUCCGGGCUGCAACUGACGCUGAGGCUCGAAAGUGUGGGUAUCAAACAGGAUUAGAUACCCUGGUAGUCCACACAGUAAACGAUGUAUACUCGCGGUUUGCGAUACAAUGUAAGCCGCCAAGCGAAAGCAUUAAGUAUACCACCUGGGGAGUACGCCGGCAACGGUGAAACUCAAAGGAAUUGACGGGGGCCCGCACAAGCGGAGGAACAUGUGGUUUAAUUCGAUGAUACGCGAGGAACCUUACCCGGGCUUGAACUAGGAGUGACAGAUUUAGAGAUAGAUCUUUCUUCGGACACUCUUGGAGGUGCUGCAUGGUUGUCGUCAGCUCGUGUCGUGAGAAG